This 542-nucleotide transfer RNA is filed under the name uncultured Prochlorococcus sp. Its description in RNAcentral is "partial 16S-23S ribosomal RNA intergenic spacer". The stretch from base 212 to 284 matches the Rfam family "tRNA". Lineage: Bacteria; Bacillati; Cyanobacteriota; Cyanophyceae; Synechococcales; Prochlorococcaceae. The record is from RNAcentral.
CAGGGAGACAACAAAAUGUUUAAUAUUAUUAUUUUGUCACCUUAGGUCGAUCGGUAUCUCACGUUCUUAAUUUAUUAAGGAUUUCAUUUCCUAAGUUUUUCUAGGUCACACCCAUUAUUUUCCCUGGGCCAUUAGCUCAGGUGGUUAGAGCGCACCCCUGAUAAGGGUGAGGUCCCUGGUUCAAGUCCAGGAUGGCCCAUAUCUCUAUGUUGGGGGUAUAGCUCAGUUGGUAGAGCGCCUGCUUUGCAAGCAGGAUGUCAGCGGUUCGAGUCCGCUUACCUCCACUGAUUACCACCUCUUACAUAAUCUGUAGAAAGGGAAUUUUUGAGUCGUGACCAAAUUCUGAAAGAAUCUAGCUUCCUAAUGAAAUCAUUAAGAUGCUGGACUCAUUGAAUUAAUUUCAUUGUUUUCAGAGAACCUUGACAACUGCAUAGAUUAUUUUUUUAAAGACAAUAAGCAUCUUUAAUGAUGCAGAUUUAUUAUUUGUGCGAAUGCAUUAAUAACAAUUCUAUUAAGCUGAUGCUUCAAUUUUUGAAGUUAUU